Molecule: ribosomal RNA, 489 nt
Filed under: uncultured bacterium
Lineage: Bacteria
Description: bacterial SSU rRNA
Rfam family: Bacterial small subunit ribosomal RNA
Source: RNAcentral
AGAGUUUGAUCCUGGCACAGAACGAACGCUGGCGGCGCGUUUUAAGCAUGCAAGUCGGACGGCAAGGAGAGUAGCAAUACUUUCCCUAGAGUGGCGAACGGGUGAGUAACACGUAGGUGAUCUACCUCUGGGUGGGGGAUAGCCCGUGGAAACACGGGGUAAUACCGCAUGAGGCCUUGUGGGUAAAGCCAUGAGGUGAAAGGUGCAAUUGCACCGUCUGGGGAUGAGCCUGCGGUCCAUUAGGUAGUUGGCGGGGUAAGAGCCCACCAAGCCGACGAUGGAUAGCCGGCCUGAGAGGGUGUACGGCCACACUGGAACUGAGACACGGUCCAGACUCCUACGGGAGGCAGCAGCUAAGAAUCUUCCGCAAUGGGGGAAACCCUGACGGAGCGACGCCGCGUGGAUGAUGAAGGCCGUAAGGUUGUAAAAUCCUUUUGUCGGUGAAGAAUAAGGGAGGGAGUGGAAAGCCCUUCUGAUGACGUUAGCCGA